This 85-nucleotide transfer RNA is filed under the name Bacteroidota bacterium. Its description in RNAcentral is "Bacteroidetes bacterium (freshwater metagenome) tRNA-Tyr". It matches the Rfam family "tRNA". Rfam says of the family: Transfer RNA (tRNA) molecules are approximately 80 nucleotides in length. Their secondary structure includes four short double-helical elements and three loops (D, anti-codon, and T loops). The record is from RNAcentral. Lineage: Bacteria; Pseudomonadati; Bacteroidota.
GGGGAUGUCGCAUAGUGGCUAUUGCAGCAGACUGUAAAUCUGUCACCGUUUGGUAUCGUUGGUUCGAGUCCAUCCAUCCCCACAA